Long non-coding RNA from Triticum aestivum (bread wheat), 1168 nucleotides. RefSeq lists it as uncharacterized. The transcript is spliced from 4 exons. NCBI's taxonomy places the organism in Eukaryota, Viridiplantae, Streptophyta, Magnoliopsida, Poales, Poaceae. The record is from RefSeq and is a predicted model, not a curated record.
AGGAACAUCGUUCCUCUCGAUCCCCUUCCGUCGCCGCCGCCGUCCUCUUGAUCCCCUCGAGUAAGCGGCGCCGCCGUUGGCUCCGAUCUCCUCCAUGGCGGAUUCCCAUGGACGCCGCGGCAGGGCAUGGUCGCGUUAAUCGCAUGGAGGGUCACGUCGAGGAAAGCGACGACCUCGCAGGCAUCGGGUCAAGCGGCUGGCCCUUCUUACGCGAUUGCGCCGUUCUUUUCUUCCCCGGCAGAGAUUGGUGCCACCACGGCCGCAUCAUGGAUUUUGCCCUGCAUCGCCUCUGAUUUGGGAGUCUGUUUUUUUUUUGCGCUGGAUCCUGAUUUGGGCGGGAUUUUUUUCCCAGGCAUUGAGCGCGCGCUGGACGGCGGGAACUGUCGCGUCAAGGAGGUCGCUAUGGACGGUGGAUCCAGGGCGCUGCACGUCGCUGUCGGCCACGGGAGGAUGCCAUACCCUUUGGGCGCAACAAACUCUUGGCCAUAUCCUCUUCCGUUUUCACAACAAGAAAGAGAUGCAUAUGAGAGGAAGAGAGCCUCCCCCAAGCUCUGUCUAGGCGAUGCACGAGAAAUUUGGAAACUAUCAAGGAGAUGUCCAAUGAUGAAUAUACUCAGACACUGAGAUACAUUCUAAAACGUGUUUACGCAGGUGAUGGGGCUGCCGCCAACUUGGGCCUGCUCAAGAACAGCGACUCUACAGGAGGGGGAUGGAGUCACGGAAGCUCCUGUGCUAUUGGGAGCGACGGUUCCACAAUGAGCCGGUCUUUUGUCACAUCUGAGUUGGAGGAUGUCCAAGGCUGGAAGUGUUCGUCACCACUAAGCCGCGGCUGAGAUAAUACUGACGCGAUGUCCAGAUUUGGAUGUCUCAUCUCUGAACAGUUGAAACGCCGAGUACUCCAUGAAAGCUUGCCUAGCGGCUUUUGCGCAAUAUUAUAUCUUUGGACGUUUGCACUUCCGCGGCUCUAGACAUGAGCUUCCUUAUAUGGUAAGAAAAUGCUGGUCAAGAGCUCGAUUCAGCUUGUGGAAAUAAAUAAUCUCCCAUAUUUAUUAAAUUUGCUUGCUUUGGCAUGUUACUUUAUCUAUAUUUGAAAUAGGAUAUUCUUUGAUAUGUAAUUUUAGGAAAUAGUUGGUUUUCAAUCUUUUUGCUUGAGAUUCAGAAGAUCCAA